This is a long non-coding RNA of Mus musculus (house mouse), 329 nucleotides long. RefSeq annotates it as predicted gene, 31696. The transcript has 3 exons. The record is from RefSeq and is a predicted model, not a curated record. Lineage: Eukaryota; Metazoa; Chordata; Mammalia; Rodentia; Muridae.
CUCCCACCUUGAUGAUAAUGGACUGAACAUCUGAACCUGCAUCUCCUCCAUAUAUGCAGAAUCCUUUAGUGUGGCUGGUCAAAUCAACAGAAUGGUCUUGAACCAUGCCAGAGGGAAUAAGACGUCUGGAUGUUUCUGUAAGAAAGACCUUAGAGGAUAGCUCCAGAGUGGAUCAACUCGGCUAUGAAAGUCAGGCCUCUCAUUUCCUGAAGCAUCUCCAGUCACAUCUGGCAGGCUGAGGUGGGUCUCACACACGCUAUUGUCUCGCCAGCAAGAACACACGUGUGAGAAACCGGAUCCUUCUGCAGCAACUAUAUUAUACCAGUUUC